GCCAGCAGUCAUAUCACCCUGCAACUCCCAACUGGUAGCCCACGGAAGCUAAGCAGGUGUGAGCCUGGUCAGUACCUGGAUAGGAGACCUCCUGGGAAGCUAUGGUUGCUGCUGGAA
RNAcentral lists this ribosomal RNA (117 nucleotides) under Lepisosteus oculatus (spotted gar). The record is from RNAcentral. Lineage: Eukaryota; Metazoa; Chordata; Actinopteri; Semionotiformes; Lepisosteidae.